RNAcentral lists this long non-coding RNA (399 nucleotides) under Homo sapiens (human). RNAcentral describes it as "HSALNT0211198". Lineage: Eukaryota; Metazoa; Chordata; Mammalia; Primates; Hominidae. The record is from RNAcentral.
GCAGAUGGAAGCCUGAAAUGUGCAAAAGCCAGGCAGGCAGACCAAUGCAUUUAUUUGAGAAAUAAAAAAAAACCCAGUCAUGAAAAUGACACAUGGAUUCAAGAUGAGCUAGAAGCAGAAGGACCUUAAACUACACAAUUACUCCCCACAAGCUCAAGCCAGAAUCAAACAAAAACCAGAAAUAAACAAAACCUGGAGCUGAACAAAUAUCUGAAUGCCACAGCCAGACUAAAGAAGAAACAAGAAGAAACUGAUGUAACUGGGCUUGAGAAGAAACAAGGAUCCUCGCAGCAGAAGAUGUCUUAACUUCAGUGCAACAAAACCCCAAGUGAUAACAUCAGAUUUUGCCGGAAUGGAGUUACAUCCUGGCUGUCAUGCAGAUACCCAGGCCUCCAACAA